AUAGCUAGUUACCCGACUUGUGGCAAAUGGCUGCAUAAGUAGACAGUGAGCAAGUUACAACAGAAGAAUCAUCAGAAGAGCAACAGGACACCUCUCAAUGUGUUGGAGCGUUUGUUUCCUGACUCAUCCUCUUGUGACAAGUAGAAGAAAAAAGUGUGGAUAAGGGAGGCAGAAUAGCUUAGACGAUAGUGCACUGGAAUGAGACUUAGGAAAUCUGGACUUCAUUCCCAGCUCUGCCACUGGCUUGUUGGUGACCUUGGGAACUCUUCCAGAUAUUGGGUUAUCUUCCUGAUGCCACUGUUGGGUCCUGAUCAGAGGACAAACAGAAGUCAGUUUCUGAAUGAAAAGACAGGAGGGAAAUGAAUGGGAGUACACUACAGUAGUAAAGGGACUCCUCACUGCUUCUGUAGUACAAGGUUUCCAGUUUGAGGGGCUCACUGCACAGCCGAGAGGCUGACACCGCUGCUGGUUCCUGCAGCAUCAUCAACACCA
Molecule: long non-coding RNA, 492 nt
Organism: Mauremys mutica (yellowpond turtle)
Lineage: Eukaryota; Metazoa; Chordata; Testudines; Geoemydidae
Exons: 4
Source: RefSeq, a predicted model, not a curated record